Molecule: non-coding RNA, 1278 nt
Filed under: Drosophila mojavensis
Lineage: Eukaryota; Metazoa; Arthropoda; Insecta; Diptera; Drosophilidae
Description: Eukaryotic large subunit ribosomal RNA
Rfam family: Eukaryotic large subunit ribosomal RNA
Source: Rfam by way of RNAcentral
UAAACAAAUCAAGGAUUCUGUCCCUAUCUACUAUCUAGCGAAACCACAGCCAAGGGAACGGGCUUGGAAUAAUUAGCGGGGAAAGAAGACCCUUUUGAGCUUGACUCUAAUCUGGCAGUGUAAGGAGACAUAAGAGGUGUAGAAUAAGUGGGAGAUAUUAGGCUUCGGUUUGAUAUCGCCAAUGAAAUACCACUACUCUUAUUGUUUCCUUACUUACUUGAUUAAGUGGAACGUGUAUCAUUUCCUAGCCAUUAUACGGAUAUAUUAAUUAUGUCUUAUGGUAUUGGGUUUUGAUGCAAGCUUCUUGAUCAAAGUAUCACGAGUUUGUUAUAUAAUCGCAAACAAAUUCUUUAAUGAGAAAAUGCAGCAAUGUGUUUUUGAUUUAAUAAUUUGGUAUAACUCCAAUUACUCAGGUAUGAUCCAAUUCAAGGACAUUGCCAGGUAGGGAGUUUGACUGGGGCGGUACAUCUCUCAAAUAAUAACGGAGGUGUCCCAAGGCCAGCUCAGUGCGGACAGAAACCACACAUAGAGCAAAAGGGCAAAUGCUGACUUGAUCUCGGUGUUCAGUACACACAGGGACAGCAAAAGCUCGGCCUAUCGAUCCUUUUGGUUUAAAGAGUUUUUAACAAGAGGUGUCAGAAAAGUUACCAUAGGGAUAACUGGCUUGUGGCGGCCAAGCGUUCAUAGCGACGUCGCUUUUUGAUCGUUGGAUGUAGGCUCUUCCUAUCAGUGUGAAGCAAAAUUCACCAAGCGAGGGAUUGUUCACCCAUGCAAAGGGAACGUGAGUUGGGUUUAGACUGUCGUGAGACAGGGUUAGUUUUACCCUACUAAUGACAAAACGUUGUUGCGACAGCAUUCCUGCGUAGUACGAGAGGAACCGCAGGUACGGACCAAUGGCACAAUACUUGUUCGAGCGAACAGUGGUAUGACGCUACGUCCGUUGGAUUAUGCCUGAACGCCUCUAAGGUCGUAUCCGUGCUGGACUGCAAUGAUAAAUAAGGGGCAAUUUGCAUUGUAUGGCUUCUAAACCAUUAAAAGUUUAUAAUUCAUUUUAUAGACGACAAUGGAUGUGAUGCCAAUGUUAUAUAUAACAUAGUAAAUUGGGAGGAUCUUCGAUCACCUGAUGCCGCGCUAGUUAUAUUUUAAAACAUUAUUUAAUACAAUGACAAAGCCUGGAAUCAAUUGUAAACGACUUUUGUAACAGGCAAGGUGUUGUAAGUGGUUGAGCAGCUGCCAUACUGCGAUCCACUGAAGCUUAUCCUUUGCUUGAUAUGAUUC